GGACAAAGACAUUUGCUCACAGUGGAGACCCAUGCAUAAACACUUGCUAAUGUUACAUCAUGCCCCUCACACUCUUUUCUGGGCUACCACACAACCGAUUUGUAGUUUAGCUUCUUUUUCAUGCCUUGUGUCUCCUACUUGAGAUGUACAGAACCCCUGUAAUCCUCUCUUCUCUUCUUCCCCCAAACUCUGACUCCAGUGAUCAUUUUUGCUUGAGGAACCGUCAGGUGCACAUUCCAAACCUUAGACAGUGACCAUGGUUUCCCCUUGGGUUAGUUUCACCUUUAAUAUUGCAUUUUACCCGUCAGAAUACUGGAUCAACUUGUGUGGAAAGUUUUGUUUUAGGUUCUUAAAAGACAUCUUAAAAAUCCAACAUUUUUGUUACUGAAUAUGUGUGAGCUUAAGAUAAUUAAAAAUUUAAAAA
This 424-nucleotide long non-coding RNA is filed under the name Mus musculus (house mouse). RNAcentral describes it as "predicted gene, 47871". Lineage: Eukaryota; Metazoa; Chordata; Mammalia; Rodentia; Muridae. The record is from RNAcentral.